RNAcentral lists this transfer RNA (85 nucleotides) under Felis catus (domestic cat). It matches the Rfam family "tRNA". From Rfam's summary of the family: Transfer RNA (tRNA) molecules are approximately 80 nucleotides in length. Their secondary structure includes four short double-helical elements and three loops (D, anti-codon, and T loops). Further hydrogen bonds mediate the characteristic L-shaped molecular structure. tRNAs have two regions of fundamental functional importance: the anti-codon, which is responsible for specific mRNA codon recognition, and the 3' end, to which the tRNAs corresponding amino acid is attached (by aminoacyl-tRNA synthetases). tRNAs cope with the degeneracy of the genetic code in two manners: having more than one tRNA (with a specific anti-codon) for a particular amino acid; and 'wobble' base-pairing, i.e. permitting non-standard base-pairing at the 3rd anti-codon position. The record is from Rfam by way of RNAcentral. Lineage: Eukaryota; Metazoa; Chordata; Mammalia; Carnivora; Felidae.
GCCUGGGUGGCUCAGUUGGUCGAGCGUCCGACUUUGGCUCGGGUCGUGAUCUCACAGUUCGUGAGUUCGAGCCCCACAUCAGGCU